UCCUGCUCUCUUCCUGGCUGGUCAUUUCUCGGAUCCUUUCCACAACGGCAUCCUCCGUGGGCCCCGUCGUGGAAAGGAAAAGUAUGAAGUAGACGCAGUGUGGU
Non-coding RNA from Callorhinus ursinus (northern fur seal), 104 nucleotides. NCBI's taxonomy places the organism in Eukaryota, Metazoa, Chordata, Mammalia, Carnivora, Otariidae. The record is from RefSeq and is a predicted model, not a curated record.